RNAcentral lists this long non-coding RNA (661 nucleotides) under Brassica napus (rape). RNAcentral's name for it is "long non-coding RNA (BNAP_LNC018671)". The record is from RNAcentral. Lineage: Eukaryota; Viridiplantae; Streptophyta; Magnoliopsida; Brassicales; Brassicaceae.
UUAAUCAUCUGUUGUAGACUACCAGCUAAUGAAAAUGUUAAGAUAUACUCUUCUGUUAACGAUAAUGUUUAGCUAACUUUUAAAGUCCUAACACUGAUGAAAAAUGAGUCAAGAAGAAUAACCCGAAUUUCUGAUGUAAAUAAGUAGAUUGAUCCUCUGGGUUCAAGGAAAUAUAAUUAUUUAAAUAUUUAUUAAUGUAAUGAUUUAGUUAAUGAUCAUAAUGCACUGUCCAAAAUGUUUGAUAUAACUUAAACUCUUUCUGAUCUUAAGAUUGGUCUCACUUGAUUUUUUUUUUUUUUUUACACUAGAUUUAAGAAUGGAAAGAAAACAAGCCGAAAGGUUGAACAUAAAAAUUAAAAAACAGAGAAUAACAGCCUUGAUUCGCAAUUAUACAAAUAAAGAUUUAUAGAAUUGAUUAUAGUGGUGGAGGAUUUAAAUAGGCACUGACGUAUGUGAUUUUUAUAAUUAAUCAACAACAUUCAGUAAAUGGAGUUAGCUAAGACAAAAUAGAAUAAAAUAAAAAAUUGACAAUCCAGUUGUGUGCAAGAAAAAUAACAAUUUAAUCAACGAUAGCAUUAUUUGUUUCAUCAUCCGAACUAGGCCUGGACAUUUUAACUUGGACACGAAAACCCGAACCGGAAUCGAUCCGAAAAUACCAGAC